CCUUACCUACUCUUGACAUCCAGAGAACUUAGCAGAGAUGCUUUGGUGCCUUCGGGAACUCUGAGACAGGUGCUGCAUGGCUGUCGUCAGCUCGUGUUGUGGAAUGUUGGGUUAAGUCCCGCAACGAGCGCAACCCUUAUCCUUUGUUGCCAGCGGUUCGGCCGGGAACUCAAAGGAGACUGCCAGUGAUAAACUGGAGGAAGGUGGGGAUGACGUCAAGUCAUCAUGGCCCUUACGAGUAGGGCUACACACGUGCUACAAUGGCAUAUACAAAGAGAAGCGACCUCGCGAGAGCAAGCGGACCUCAUAAAGUAUGUCGUAGUCCGGAUCGGAGUCUGCAACUCGACUCCGUGAAGUCGGAAUCGCUAGUAAUCGUGGAUCAGAAUGCCACGGUGAAUACGUUCCCGGGUCUUGUACACACCG
Molecule: ribosomal RNA, 423 nt
Filed under: uncultured prokaryote
Description: bacterial SSU rRNA
Rfam family: Bacterial small subunit ribosomal RNA
Source: RNAcentral